GACCUAGGAAGGGAAAGUGGAAUAUGCCUCUGAGACUGGGAGGAGAUGGGCUCUGGCCAAUUAGAUGACAUAUCUAUUUAAUAAAAUGUGGAAACUGGAUCUCAGGACUUCCCUAGCCUGUGCCAAGGUCUGCACUGCCCUCUGAAGCCACUAAAUAGGGGAGUCACAGAUUGGCCUUCUCUAUCCCUUUGCCAGUUCAGGAUGAAUUUGGCCCAUUGAGUUGACCCUCUUCCAUCUCAAAUUUCCCCACUUAUAAAAUAAUUUUAUCAUUAUUCAUAUUUCAGUCUAUGGAGGGGAAAGGGCCCCAUUGUGCUGAGCUCUCCAGAGACGCUGAGUAAAUAGACCCCAAAAGUUUACAAUUCAGAGCCCUGACUGCAAAUUCUUAACAUCCCAUGAAUGUCAAAGAGACCAAAGUGCGCAAAGCUACUUUCGCCCUAAACUUUUUGCAGGAUCUGGGUCUCAGUUACGGCAAAAUGCAACUGGUGAAUGAGACAAACCAGCUGGGGUUGGGGGGUGGAUGAUGAGGGGAAAGGAUAUCUCUCCUAGAGAUUGCAUCUCACAGGUGUGGCUUAAUGACAGUUGAUUCCAUUGCUGUGAGACGUCUGAAUAAAAGAGGAAAAAGGAGGUUUCAGACUAGUUUAUAUUGAUAUUAAAGCCCUAAGUGUGUGUCUGUG
Molecule: long non-coding RNA, 674 nt
Organism: Chelonia mydas (Green sea turtle)
Lineage: Eukaryota; Metazoa; Chordata; Testudines; Cheloniidae
Exons: 2
Source: RefSeq, a predicted model, not a curated record